UACGUAGGGGGCAAGCGUUGUCCGGAAUCACUGGGCGUAAAGGGCGCGUAGGCGGCCUGAUAAGUAGGGGGUGAAAUCUUGCGGCUCAACCGCAAGGCUGCCUUCUAAACUGUCAGGCUGGAGCACGGUAGAGGCAGAUGGAAUUCCCGGUGUAGCGGUGGAAUGCGUAGAGAUCGGGAAGAACACCAGUGGCGAAGGCGGUCUGCUGGGCCGUUGCUGACGCUGAGGCGCGAAAGCUAGGGGAGCAAACAGG
RNAcentral lists this ribosomal RNA (253 nucleotides) under uncultured bacterium. Its description in RNAcentral is "partial 16S ribosomal RNA". It matches the Rfam family "Bacterial small subunit ribosomal RNA", at positions 524 to 776 of the family's 1533-position model. The record is from RNAcentral.